UUAAGUGAAGAGUUUGAUCAUGGCUCAGAUUUGACGCUGGCGGCAGGCCUAACACAUGCAAGUCGAGCUGCAGCGGAAAGUAGCUUGCUACUUUGCCGGCGAGCGGCGGACGGGUGAGUAAUGUCUGGGAAACUGCCCGAUGGAGGGGGAUAACUACUGGAAACGGUGGCUAAUA
Molecule: ribosomal RNA, 175 nt
Filed under: Serratia sp. Ag2
Lineage: Bacteria; Pseudomonadati; Pseudomonadota; Gammaproteobacteria; Enterobacterales; Yersiniaceae
Description: partial 16S ribosomal RNA
Rfam family: Bacterial small subunit ribosomal RNA
Source: RNAcentral